UACGGAGGAUGCAAGCGUUAUCCGGAUUCAUUGGGUUUAAAGGGUGCGCAGGCGGAAUAUUAAGUCAGUGGUGAAAGCCUACAGCUCAACUGUAGAACUGCCAUUGAUACUGAUAUUCUUGAGUGUUGUUGAGGUAGGCGGAAUGUGUCAUGUAGCGGUGAAAUGCUUAGAUAUGACACAGAACACCGAUCGCGAAGGCAGCUUACCAAGCAACAACUGACGCUCAUGCACGAAAGCGUGGGGAUCAAACAGG
Molecule: ribosomal RNA, 253 nt
Filed under: uncultured bacterium
Lineage: Bacteria
Description: partial 16S ribosomal RNA
Rfam family: Bacterial small subunit ribosomal RNA
Source: RNAcentral